This is a non-coding RNA of Paramuricea clavata, 439 nucleotides long. The record is from the annotation of a GenBank genome assembly. Lineage: Eukaryota; Metazoa; Cnidaria; Anthozoa; Malacalcyonacea; Plexauridae.
CAUCGAUUCUACUGUCACAAAAUAAAACAGAUUUAAUUUAAAGAACUUGACAGUUCUUCUGUACAUCGCUAACUUAGUACUGUCGUAUAUUUCAAUCGAUCACAAAAUUACAUAUUUAUAAUACUGAAACUUACGCUUGAUAUUCGUUGCUUGACUGUCAGCUACAAUCUCUCCAAAUUGAAACGAUUUUAAUAGAAGAACACAGAAUACGAAUUGUGUUAAUGAGGAUGCCACACACCUCGGACCCAUGAUGAAGGAUGUUUAGAAGUUGAUUCCUUAAAACAGGAUGGAAUUCUUUAGUUUCUGACACACGGCGCUCUGAAUGUGUUUCGCCUUUCUAGACAACUGAAUUAUUUUGACCUGACUGCCUCUUCAGACCUCAUGCAGACAGCUUUGAUAACAAGCACAGUCACCAGCCGAGCUAACCACCAAGUGUAUU